UAAAGCUCAAGCUUGAUGCUCUAUCUAUGAGCAGACAGCCAUUAAGCAGACUUGACUGGAAGUUGAAGAGGUGAACUUGAAUCCUUGACCUGUCAAAAGCAGUUGGCCUUUUUGAUGAUGGCUACAUGUUUUUUUCUAUGGAUGACUUCUUUGGGGUGUGAAGAGAGGUAGAGACUACGUCCAUGCAAGGAACCAAGAGUUCUAACCAAAGGUAUGGAAGUCUCAAAUUUGGUUUUUGUGUUUUGUGAUUUAAAGCCGAUACAAUGAUGAAAACAUAGUUCAGCAGACUAACAGUGAUGAGCAAAUACUGUCUUUCGCUCCUAUCUGAUGUAUCUGGCUACAACAAUUCUGUUUUAUACCUUUGAAAGUGGAAAUUAGUCAUAUUAGUCUUUGUCUCACUGAAAUGUUCAGGAUUUGGAUAAGUAUAAUGUAAGUGUCCUAUAUAGUUAAUUUCAGGAUUAGGAGUUAACAUUUUGAUAAGAACAGGCUAAAACUGAGGAAAUUUCCAUGUCAUAACUGUAGACAACACCAGAAUGAGUAGUUGAUG
This 547-nucleotide long non-coding RNA is filed under the name Bos taurus (domestic cattle). Its description in RNAcentral is "long non-coding RNA NONBTAT008020". The stretch from base 256 to 336 matches the Rfam family "Small nucleolar RNA snR60/Z15/Z230/Z193/J17". The record is from RNAcentral. Lineage: Eukaryota; Metazoa; Chordata; Mammalia; Artiodactyla; Bovidae.